Oryctolagus cuniculus (rabbit) is the source of this 2017-nucleotide non-coding RNA. The record is from RefSeq and is a predicted model, not a curated record. Lineage: Eukaryota; Metazoa; Chordata; Mammalia; Lagomorpha; Leporidae.
GCGAGGUCUGAGGGAGAAAGCUCAAACCUGGGGCACCCCAGGGAGACCCAGGACCCGGGACCCCGCCCUGACCCUUCCCGGUCUCAUCCGGGUCUCACAUGGGAAGUCCUGCCUCUGCACCAUCUCGAGCCUCAACCUCCCCCCAAGCCCAGGCCUUCCAGGGGUCCCCAGGCCUCUCGGCCCCCACCUGACGCCAGAGGCCCCCCUUUUAUCCCGUGGGGCGUUCUCAGAUCCCUUUUGUUACCUGAACAAUAAGUAACCCAGGUAGUUAGUUAUAAACCCUGCGGGAACAGGAUCUGGUUGAUAAUUUAUAGCAACAUCUCAAAUUUAAAUGGAAAGUAAACAGCAUGCUGUUAGCAUUCAAGAAAACCCAGGCGGCUUGGGAGGGGAGCGGGCGGCCUCCCCGAGCUGGGGUGCCUUCUGCCCGCUGGGCCUGAGCCCCUCUCCCCUCCCGGGCAGCUCCAGCCUCUCUCUCCAUCACUCCUCUCUCUUCUUCCCUGUCUCCCCUCUCUCCCUCGGCCUCCAGGCUCUGCUGGUCCCCAGGGAGCACUUUGACCUCUGCUCCCCCCUCCAGCGCUGUGGAUCAAGUCUCCCCCCCAACCAUCCCACCAGGGGGGCUGCUGAGCCCGAGGCCCCAGCCAGCCAGCUCUCUGCUGUGGCCUGGGAAAGCGGUAGAAGAUGGCCCAAGUCCUUGGGCCCCUGCACCCAUGUGGGAGACCCAGAAGAUGGCUUCGGAUUGGCACAGUUCCGGCCGUUGCAGCCAUCUGAGGAGUGAACCAGCAGAUGGAAGACCUCUCUCUCUCUGUCUCUCCCUUUCUCUGUAACUCUACCUCUCAAAUAAAUAAAAUAAAAUCUUUAAAAAAAAAAAAAAAAAAAAACCUGUGAUGACCAAAAUAACAAACUUUUAAAAACAGGCUCCCGCCCCCACCACCCCACCCUGAGCCAAGCCCUGGGGCCGUCUCACCCUGCCCCUCUCUCCCAGCCUGGACGCCAGGCCUCACUGGUCCCCUCGGCCACUCUCAGAGGGCGCUCAGCCGCUAAGCAUGGGCAAGCGCCGUGCAGUGGGUUAACGGCGACCCCCCCACCCCCAGGUAGACUGAAGAGGUGGUUCAUCACUCACCAGCACCCUCCAACCACGUGUGGCUUCCAAGCACCCAGGAUGGGGCCACUGCCGCUUGCCUAAAUGAUGUUUUGGACAUAAUGGGUGAAGCUUACAACAUAAAAAUGUAGGAGUAGGCGUUUAGCCUAGCAGCUAAGACAGCAGAGUCCUGGGCACAGUGCCAGCCCUGCCUCCUGAUUCUCGAUUCCUGGCGGGCAGCGGUGACGGCCAGACAGGCGGGGCCCCCACCCACGUGAGAGAUCCCGACUGAACUCCGGGCUUCAGCCCAGCCCAGGCCCGGCUGUUGCAGACACUUUGGGAGCUCCCUGUCUCUCCAUCUCUGCCUCUCAAAUAAAAAAAAAUCAAUUGUAAAAUGAAUUAUAAUUAAUCAUAUUUUAACUAAAGCAUAAUAGUAACCAUAAUUAUAUUUGAUUAUAUAAUAAUCAUAUUAAAAUAUUCCCCUAUUAUCGGAGGGUACAUCAAAAAUUUCAUAGGAAAUGUAAUUUAAAAUAAUGCACAUUUCCAUGAACUUUUUGAAGACUUUUUGCACUUAAUUGUUACUAAUUAUAUUUAAUAUGUUAAUUAUAUUGUGUUUAAUUUUAAAAGUUACAAAAUAACUUCACUUUUUUUUUAACUUCUCUAAUAGUGCUUCUGGAAAACUUGAAAUGACACAGGUGGCUGAUUUUUCUUUUUUUUUUAAGGUUUAUUUUUAUUUAUUUGAAAGAGUAACAGAGAGAUGUAGAGACAGAGAGGAGAGAGGUCUUCCAUCUGCUGGUUCACUCCCCAGAUGGCUGCAACAGCUGUAGCUGUGCUGAUCCGAAGCCAGGAGCCAGGAGCUUCUUCUGGGUCUCCCACGUGGGUGCAGGGGCCCGAGCACUUGGGCCAUCUUCUACUGCUAUCCCAGGCCACAGCAGAGAG